CGGGGUUGCGGACAGUGUCUGGUGGGUAGUUUGACUGGGGCGGUCUCCUCCUAAAGAGUAACGGAGGAGCACGAAGGUUGGCUAAUCCUGGUCGGACAUCAGGAGGUUAGUGCAAUGGCAUAAGCCAGCUUGACUGCGAGCGUGACGGCGCGAGCAGGUGCGAAAGCAGGUCAUAGUGAUCCGGUGGUUCUGAAUGGAAGGGCCAUCGCUCAACGGAUAAAAGGUACUCCGGGGAUAACAGGCUGAUACCGCCCAAGAGUUCAUAUCGACGGCGGUGUUUGGCACCUCGAUGUCGGCUCAUCACAUCCUGGGGCUGAAGUAGGUCCCAAGGGUAUGGCUGUUCGCCAUUUAAAGUGGUACGCGAGCUGGGUUUAGAACGUCGUGAGACAGUUCGGUCCCUAUCUGCCGUGGGCGCUGGAGAACUGAGGGGGGCUGCUCCUAGUACGAGAGGACCGGAGUGGACGCAUCACUGGUGUUCGGGUUGUCAUGCCAAUGGCACUGCCCGGUAGCUAAAUGCGGAAGAGAUAAGUGCUGAAAGCAUCUAAGCACGAAACUUGCCCCGAGAUGAGUUCUCCCUGAGACUUAGAGUCUCCUGAAGGAACGUUGAAGACGACGACGUUGAUAGGCCGGGUGUGUAAGCGCAGCGAUGCGUUGAGCUAACCGGUACUAAUGAACCGUGAGGCUUAACCUUACAACGCCGAAG
Molecule: ribosomal RNA, 703 nt
Filed under: Escherichia coli
Lineage: Bacteria; Pseudomonadati; Pseudomonadota; Gammaproteobacteria; Enterobacterales; Enterobacteriaceae
Description: partial 23S ribosomal RNA
Rfam family: Bacterial large subunit ribosomal RNA
Source: RNAcentral